This 62-nucleotide transfer RNA is filed under the name Botryllus gaiae. Its description in RNAcentral is "transfer RNA-Leu(CUN)". The record is from RNAcentral. Lineage: Eukaryota; Metazoa; Chordata; Ascidiacea; Stolidobranchia; Styelidae.
GUUUUUAUAGGAUAAUUGUAAUCUAUUAUAUUUAGGGUGUAAAGAUAUUUAUAUUAAAAACU